This 253-nucleotide ribosomal RNA is filed under the name uncultured bacterium. RNAcentral's name for it is "partial 16S ribosomal RNA". It matches the Rfam family "Bacterial small subunit ribosomal RNA", at positions 524 to 776 of the family's 1533-position model. The record is from RNAcentral.
CACGUAGGGCGCAAGCGUUGUCCGGAAUUAUUGGGCGUAAAGAGCUCGUAGGUGGUUUGUUACGUCCGCUGUGAAAUCCUAGGGCUUAACCCUGGGCUUGCAGUGGAUACGGGCAGACUAGAGGUAGGUAGGGGAGAAUGGAAUUCCUGGUGUAGCGGUGAAAUGCGCAGAUAUCAGGAAGAACACCCGUGGCGAAAGCGGCUCUCUGGAACGGUACUGACGCUGAGACGCGAAAGCGUGGGGAGCGAACAGG